AUGGCUGUCGUCAGCUCGUGUCGUGAGAUGUUGGGUUAAGUCCCGCAACGAGCGCAACCCUUGUCCUAUGUUGCCAGCGGGUAAUGCCGGGGACUCGUAGGAGACUGCCGGGGUCAACUCGGAGGAAGGUGGGGACGACGUCAAGUCAUCAUGCCCCUUACGUCCAGGGCUGCACACAUGCUACAAUGGCCGGUACAGAGGGCUGCUAUCCCGCGAGGGUGAGCGAAUCCCAAAAAGCCGGUCUCAGUUCGGAUUGGAGUCUGCAACUCGACUCCAUGAAGUCGGAGUCGCUAGUAAUCCCGGAUCAGCAACGCCGGGGUGAAUACGUUCCCGGGCCUUGUACACACCGCCCGUCAAACCACGAAAGUCGGCAACACCCGAAGCCGGUCACCCAACCACUUGUGGAGGGAGCCGUCGAAGGUGGGGUUGGUGAUUGGGGUUAAGUCGUAACAAGGUAGCCGUACCGGAAGGUGCGGCUGGAUCACCUCCUUUCUAAGGAGUCACGGUCGAUUCUUUAUCGCCAAUUGCGAUGAAGUAAUCGAGCACUCCCAGUCGAUCAUUGACUAUUCGCCAUAUCGCAUAUCCUGCGACGGUUGAAUCCCUCAAUUUACGUUGAAGGAUUCCCCUCUACAGGCGCUGAGCGAAACCGACGGACUGUUCCUAUUCCGCUUUCAGGGAGCGACGUUUUUUCGCGCCCCUUGAGAACUCCAUAGCGAGCACGAGCAUCUAAUUCUCCAAGCUACAAAGAGCCAACGGCGGAUGCCUUGGCGCCUGAAGCCGAUGAAGGACGUGGGAGGCUGCGAAAAGCCACGGGGAGCUGCCUACCAAGCUUCGAUCCGUGGACGUCCGAAUGGGGAAACCCGG
This 864-nucleotide small RNA is filed under the name uncultured Acidimicrobiales bacterium. RNAcentral describes it as "bacterial SSU rRNA". The stretch from base 1 to 492 matches the Rfam family "Bacterial small subunit ribosomal RNA", at positions 1045 to 1533 of the family's 1533-position model. The record is from RNAcentral. Lineage: Bacteria; Bacillati; Actinomycetota; Acidimicrobiia; Acidimicrobiales.